This 2926-nucleotide ribosomal RNA is filed under the name Escherichia coli. RNAcentral describes it as "23S ribosomal RNA". It matches the Rfam family "Bacterial large subunit ribosomal RNA". Lineage: Bacteria; Pseudomonadati; Pseudomonadota; Gammaproteobacteria; Enterobacterales; Enterobacteriaceae. The record is from RNAcentral.
GGGUUGUGAGGUUAAGCGACUAAGCGUACACGGUGGAUGCCCUGGCAGUCAGAGGCGAUGAAGGACGUGCUAAUCUGCGAUAAGCGUCGGUAAGGUGAUAUGAACCGUUAUAACCGGCGAUUUCCGAAUGGGGAAACCCAGUGUGUUUCGACACACUAUCAUUAACUGAAUCCAUAGGUUAAUGAGGCGAACCGGGGGAACUGAAACAUCUAAGUACCCCGAGGAAAAGAAAUCAACCGAGAUUCCCCCAGUAGCGGCGAGCGAACGGGGAGGAGCCCAGAGCCUGAAUCAGUGUGUGUGUUAGUGGAAGCGUCUGGAAAGGCGCGCGAUACAGGGUGACAGCCCCGUACACAAAAAUGCACAUGCUGUGAGCUCGAUGAGUAGGGCGGGACACGUGGUAUCCUGUCUGAAUAUGGGGGGACCAUCCUCCAAGGCUAAAUACUCCUGACUGACCGAUAGUGAACCAGUACCGUGAGGGAAAGGCGAAAAGAACCCCGGCGAGGGGAGUGAAAAAGAACCUGAAACCGUGUACGUACAAGCAGUGGGAGCACGCUUAGGCGUGUGACUGCGUACCUUUUGUAUAAUGGGUCAGCGACUUAUAUUCUGUAGCAAGGUUAACCGAAUAGGGGAGCCGAAGGGAAACCGAGUCUUAACUGGGCGUUAAGUUGCAGGGUAUAGACCCGAAACCCGGUGAUCUAGCCAUGGGCAGGUUGAAGGUUGGGUAACACUAACUGGAGGACCGAACCGACUAAUGUUGAAAAAUUAGCGGAUGACUUGUGGCUGGGGGUGAAAGGCCAAUCAAACCGGGAGAUAGCUGGUUCUCCCCGAAAGCUAUUUAGGUAGCGCCUCGUGAAUUCAUCUCCGGGGGUAGAGCACUGUUUCGGCAAGGGGGUCAUCCCGACUUACCAACCCGAUGCAAACUGCGAAUACCGGAGAAUGUUAUCACGGGAGACACACGGCGGGUGCUAACGUCCGUCGUGAAGAGGGAAACAACCCAGACCGCCAGCUAAGGUCCCAAAGUCAUGGUUAAGUGGGAAACGAUGUGGGAAGGCCCAGACAGCCAGGAUGUUGGCUUAGAAGCAGCCAUCAUUUAAAGAAAGCGUAAUAGCUCACUGGUCGAGUCGGCCUGCGCGGAAGAUGUAACGGGGCUAAACCAUGCACCGAAGCUGCGGCAGCGACACUGUGUGUUGUUGGGUAGGGGAGCGUUCUGUAAGCCUGUGAAGGUGUACUGUGAGGUAUGCUGGAGGUAUCAGAAGUGCGAAUGCUGACAUAAGUAACGAUAAAGCGGGUGAAAAGCCCGCUCGCCGGAAGACCAAGGGUUCCUGUCCAACGUUAAUCGGGGCAGGGUGAGUCGACCCCUAAGGCGAGGCCGAAAGGCGUAGUUGAUGGGAAACAGGUUAAUAUUCCUGUACUUGGUGUUACUGCGAAGGGGGGACGGAGAAGGCUAUGUUGGCCGGGCGACGGUUGUCCCGGUUUAAGCGUGUAGGCUGGUUUUCCAGGCAAAUCCGGAAAAUCAAGGCUGAGGCGUGAUGACGAGGCACUACGGUGCUGAAGCAACAAAUGCCCUGCUUCCAGGAAAAGCCUCUAAGCAUCAGGUAACAUCAAAUCGUACCCCAAACCGACACAGGUGGUCAGGUAGAGAAUACCAAGGCGCUUGAGAGAACUCGGGUGAAGGAACUAGGCAAAAUGGUGCCGUAACUUCGGGAGAAGGCACGCUGAUAUGUAGGUGAGGUCCCUCGCGGAUGGAGCUGAAAUCAGUCGAAGAUACCAGCUGGCUGCAACUGUUUAUUAAAAACACAGCACUGUGCAAACACGAAAGUGGACGUAUACGGUGUGACGCCUGCCCGGUGCCGGAAGGUUAAUUGAUGGGGUUAGCCGCAAGGCGAAGCUCUUGAUCGAAGCCCCGGUAAACGGCGGCCGUAACUAUAACGGUCCUAAGGUAGCGAAAUUCCUUGUCGGGUAAGUUCCGACCUGCACGAAUGGCGUAAUGAUGGCCAGGCUGUCUCCACCCGAGACUCAGUGAAAUUGAACUCGCUGUGAAGAUGCAGUGUACCCGCGGCAAGACGGAAAGACCCCGUGAACCUUUACUAUAGCUUGACACUGAACAUUGAGCCUUGAUGUGUAGGAUAGGUGGGAGGCUUUGAAGUGUGGACGCCAGUCUGCAUGGAGCCGACCUUGAAAUACCACCCUUUAAUGUUUGAUGUUCUAACGUUGACCCGUAAUCCGGGUUGCGGACAGUGUCUGGUGGGUAGUUUGACUGGGGCGGUCUCCUCCUAAAGAGUAACGGAGGAGCACGAAGGUUGGCUAAUCCUGGUCGGACAUCAGGAGGUUAGUGCAAUGGCAUAAGCCAGCUUGACUGCGAGCGUGACGGCGCGAGCAGGUGCGAAAGCAGGUCAUAGUGAUCCGGUGGUUCUGAAUGGAAGGGCCAUCGCUCAACGGAUAAAAGGUACUCCGGGGAUAACAGGCUGAUACCGCCCAAGAGUUCAUAUCGACGGCGGUGUUUGGCACCUCGAUGUCGGCUCAUCACAUCCUGGGGCUGAAGUAGGUCCCAAGGGUAUGGCUGUUCGCCAUUUAAAGUGGUACGCGAGCUGGGUUUAGAACGUCGUGAGACAGUUCGGUCCCUAUCUGCCGUGGGCGCUGGAGAACUGAGGGGGGCUGCUCCUAGUACGAGAGGACCGGAGUGGACGCAUCACUGGUGUUCGGGUUGUCAUGCCAAUGGCACUGCCCGGUAGCUAAAUGCGGAAGAGAUAAGUGCUGAAAGCAUCUAAGCACGAAACUUGCCCCGAGAUGAGUUCUCCCUGACCCUUUAAGGGUCCUGAAGGAACGUUGAAGACGACGACGUUGAUAGGCCGGGUGUGUAAGCGCAGCGAUGCGUUGAGCUAACCGGUACUAAUGAACCGUGAGGCUUAACCUUACAACGCCGAAG